This is a long non-coding RNA of Rattus rattus (black rat), 634 nucleotides long. RefSeq lists it as uncharacterized. NCBI's taxonomy places the organism in Eukaryota, Metazoa, Chordata, Mammalia, Rodentia, Muridae. The record is from RefSeq and is a predicted model, not a curated record. The transcript has 2 exons.
CUUUCAGAGUGGGCAGGGAGACAUACAGAUGAGGAAAUUCACUUCAGCAGGGAAUCUGCUAAGCGUGGCAGGAUUCCUGCUCCGGACUCUCAAAGCCUCCCGUUAAUGGAAACAGCAGGUUAACCUGGUCUGACCAACAGGAAGCCACGUGACCCAAUCUCUGUACCACGGAUGCCUUGAACGUGCAGCUUAGACCUCGAGAGAGACUCGGGGAGACAACUGCCAUUAUCGGAGGGACGAACCCAGUCAUGGAGUGUGCUCCUCAGCCAGGGUCCUCCUGUGCGAAAGCAACAGAAGCAGAAAACUGAGGGUCAUUGUGGCGAGAACAAAGCGGAAACUCAGUCUCCAGGAGAAAAGCAGAUCUGAUGAGCACUCACGGGCUGGGGAGAUGCUCGGUGGGUGAAGUGCCUGCCCUGCAAACAUGGGGACCUGCGUUCAGAUCUCCACCCCGGUGUCAGCAGCCAGCAAGGGGGCUGCAGCUGUAACCCCAGUGCUGGGAUGGGAGCCGAGGCCUGUCCAUCACUAGAGCUCAAUGGCCAGGCAAUCUAACCAAUCUGUGAGCUCAGGGUUUAGUGAGAGAGAGGGAGGAGGGAGACAUAAACCAAAUAAAUAAAUGUAAUUGUAAAUAAAUAAA